GACUUGUAGAGUCGUGAGGGUUCAGGUCCCGAUCCCC
This 37-nucleotide transfer RNA is filed under the name Valeriana sitchensis (Sitka valerian). Its description in RNAcentral is "partial tRNA-Leu". The record is from RNAcentral. Lineage: Eukaryota; Viridiplantae; Streptophyta; Magnoliopsida; Dipsacales; Caprifoliaceae.